CCCCCAGGAUCCCCAAAUUUCACCCCCCAGGACCCUCAAAUUCACCCUCAGGACCCCCAACUAUUCCCCCUGCCAGGAACCCCAAAUUCACUCCCCAAAUUCACCUUCCAGGACCCCCAAAUUCACUCUUAGGACCCCCAAAUUUCACCCUCAGGACCCCCAAAUAUUCCCUCCCCAAGACCCCCAAAUUCACCCCCCAAAUUUCACCCUCAGGACCCCCAAAUAUUCCUUUAUGGAACCCCCCCCCAACCCCCCCCAGGCUCUUGGGACAAUUUUGGGGGUUCCCCCUCCCCUCCCCGAAUUUUGGGGGGCUCGGGGGGGUCCCCAAAUUUGCCCCCUCCCCACAGUGGAGAUCGUGGCCAACUACGCCGAGGGCACGGCCCGGGUCACACAGGUGGGGGGUCCUGGGGGGUUUUGGGGGGUCCUGGGGGGGUUUUGGGGGGUUUUGGGGUACUUAAAGGGGUCGGGGGGGGGUUUGGGGGUGCUAGGAGGGGUUUUGGGGGGUCCUGAGGUGUUUUGGGGGGUCCUGGGGGUAUUUGGGGGGUCCUGGGGGUUGGGUUUUAUGGGAUUUUGGGGCUCAUUUUGGGGUGGGUUUUUUGGGGAGGGGUCUUUAACCCUUCCCUCCCCAGUGUGGGGUGGACCCCAGUUUUUGGGGGGAUUUAUGGGAUUUUUGGGGUGGUUAUUUUGGGGAGGGGUCUUUAGCCCCCCCUUUAACCCUUCCCUCCCCAGCGUGGGGUGAACCCCAGUUUUUGGGGGGGAUUUAUGGGAUUUUGGGGCUCAUUUUAGGGUGGGUUUUUUGGGGAGGGGUCUUU
This 812-nucleotide long non-coding RNA is filed under the name Chloebia gouldiae (Gouldian finch). RNAcentral describes it as "Erythrura gouldiae (Gouldian finch) lncRNA (ENSEGOG00005009523.1)". The record is from RNAcentral. Lineage: Eukaryota; Metazoa; Chordata; Aves; Passeriformes; Passeridae.